CUAUGAGCGAUCCUGGACGGUGCCCCUUCGGGGGUGAAAAGGGAAUGCGGUGAGGGGAGACCCGACUCCGCGGCUGCCCCCGCAACUGUGAGCGGCGAGUUCCUGCCACCAGCCACCGGCACGAUCCGGGAAGGCGGCAGGCGCGAGGAUCCGCGAGCCAGGAGACCUGCCGUCCACCGGGAAGACCCU
RNAcentral lists this non-coding RNA (189 nucleotides) under Methylobacterium dankookense. The record is from RNAcentral. Lineage: Bacteria; Pseudomonadati; Pseudomonadota; Alphaproteobacteria; Hyphomicrobiales; Methylobacteriaceae.